Molecule: ribosomal RNA, 253 nt
Filed under: uncultured bacterium
Lineage: Bacteria
Description: partial 16S ribosomal RNA
Rfam family: Bacterial small subunit ribosomal RNA
Source: RNAcentral
UACAGAGGUCUCAAGCGUUGUUCGGAUUCAUUGGGCGUAAAGGGUGUGUAGGUGGCGCCGUAAGUCGGGUGUGAAAUUUCGGAGCUUAACUCCGAACCUGCAUUCGAUACUGCGGUGCUUGAGGACUGGAGAGGAGACUGGAAUCCAUGGUGUAGCAGUGAAAUGCGUAGAGAUCAUGAGGAAGACCAGUGGCGAAGGCGGGUCUCUGGACAGUUCCUGACACUGAGACACGAAGGCCAGGGGAGCAAACGGG